CCUACGGGUGGCUGCAGUGGGGAAUAUUGGACAAUGGGGGGAACCCUGAUCCAGCCAUGCCGCGUGUGUGAAGAAGGCCCUCGGGUUGUAAAGCACUUUCAGUGAGGAAGAACGCCUGGUGGUUAAUACCCAUCAGGAAAGACAUCACUCACAGAAGAAGCACCGGCUAACUCCGUGCCAGCAGCCGCGGUAAUACGGUGGGUGCGAGCGUUAAUCGGAAUUACUGGGCGUAAAGCGCGCGUAGGUGGCUUGAUAAGCCGGUUGUGAAAGCCCCGGGCUCAACCUGGGAACGGCAUCCGGAACUGUCAAGCUAGAGUGCAGGAGAGGAAGGUAGAAUUCCCGGUGUAGCGGUGAAAUGCGUAGAGAUCGGGAGGAAUACCAGUGGCGAAGGCGGCCUUCUGGACUGACACUGACACUGAGGUGCGAAAGCGUGGGUAGCAAACAGGAUUAGAUACCCCAGUAGUC
RNAcentral lists this ribosomal RNA (465 nucleotides) under Vreelandella stevensii. Its description in RNAcentral is "partial 16S ribosomal RNA". It matches the Rfam family "Bacterial small subunit ribosomal RNA", at positions 338 to 795 of the family's 1533-position model. Lineage: Bacteria; Pseudomonadati; Pseudomonadota; Gammaproteobacteria; Oceanospirillales; Halomonadaceae. The record is from RNAcentral.